This 849-nucleotide ribosomal RNA is filed under the name uncultured archaeon. RNAcentral describes it as "bacterial SSU rRNA". It matches the Rfam family "Archaeal small subunit ribosomal RNA", at positions 70 to 922 of the family's 1478-position model. The record is from RNAcentral.
CGCAAGGCGUGGCAUACGGCUCAGUAACACGUAGUCAACAUGCCCAAAGGACGUGGAUAACCUCGGGAAACUGAGGAUAAACCGCGAUAGGCCAGGGUUUCUGGAAUGAGCCAUGGCCGAAAUCUAUAUGGCCUUUGGAUUGGACUGCGGCCGAUCAGGCUGUUGGUGAGGUAAUGGCCCACCAAACCUGUAACCGGUACGGGCUUUGAGAGAAGUAGCCCGGAGAUGGGCACUGAGACAAGGGCCCAGGCCCUAUGGGGCGCAGCAGGCGCGAAACCUCUGCAAUAGGCGAAAGCCUGACAGGGUUACUCUGAGUGAUGCCCGCUAAGGGCAUCUUUUGGCACCUCUAAAAAUGGUGCAGAAUAAGGGGUGGGCAAGUCUGGUGUCAGCCGCCGCGGUAAUACCAGCACCCCGAGUUGUCGGGACGAUUAUUGGGCCUAAAGCAUCCGUAGCCGGUUCUAUAAGUCCUCCGUUAAAUCCACCUGCUCAACAGAUGGGCUGCGGGGGAUACUACGGAGCUAGGAGGCGGGAGAGGCAAACGGUACUCAGUGGGUAGGGGUAAAAUCCAUUGAUCUACUGAAGACCACCAGUGGCGAAGGCGGUUUGCCAGAACGCGCUCGACGGUGAGGGAUGAAAGCUGGGGGAGCAAACCGGAUUAGAUACCCGGGUAGUCCCAGCUGUAAACGAUGCAGACUCGGUGAUGGGUUGGCUUCGCGCCAACCCAGUGCCGCAGGGAAGCCGUUAAGUCUGCCGCCUGGGGAGUACGGUCGCAAGACUGAAACUUAAAGGAAUUGGCGGGGGAGCACCACAAGGGGUGAAGCCUGCGGUUCAAUUGGAUUCAACGCCGGA